GUGCCAGCCGCCGCGGUAAUACCGGCAACCCGAGUGAUGGCCGACCUUAUUGGGCCUAAAGCGUCCGUAGCUGGCCGCGCAAGUCCAUCGGAAAAUCCACCCGCCCAACGGGUGGGCGUCCGGUGGAAACUGCGUGGCUUGGGACCGGAAGGCGCGACGGGUACGUCCGGGGUAGGAGUGAAAUCCCGUAAUCCUGGACGGACCGCCGAUGGCGAAAGCACGUCGCGAAGACGGACCAGACAGUGAGGGACGAAAGCUAGGGUCUCGAACCGGAUUAGAUACCCUAGUAGUCC
Molecule: ribosomal RNA, 293 nt
Filed under: uncultured bacterium
Lineage: Bacteria
Description: partial 16S ribosomal RNA
Rfam family: Archaeal small subunit ribosomal RNA
Source: RNAcentral